Molecule: ribosomal RNA, 501 nt
Filed under: uncultured bacterium
Lineage: Bacteria
Description: partial 16S ribosomal RNA
Rfam family: Bacterial small subunit ribosomal RNA
Source: RNAcentral
AUUGAACGCUGGCGGCAGGCUUAACACAUGCAAGUCGAGCGGGGAAGGUUGCUUCGGUAACUGACCUAGCGGCGGACGGGUGAGUAAUGCUUAGGAAUAUGCCUAUUAGUGGGGGACAACCUUACGAAAGGGAUGCUAAUACCGCAUACGUCCUACGGGAGAAAGCAGGGGAUCAUUUGACCUUGCGCUAAUAGAUGAGCCUAAGUCGGAUUAGCUAGUUGGUAGGGUAAAGGCCUACCAAGGCGACGAUCUGUAGCGGGUCUGAGAGGAUGAUCCGUCACACUGGGACUGAGACACGGCACAGACUCCUACGGGAGGCAGCAGUGGGGAAUAUUGGACAAUGGGGGGAACCCUGAUCCAGCCAUGCCGCGUGUGUGAAGAAGGCCUUUUGGUUGUAAAGCACUUUAAGCGAGGAGGAGGCUCUCUUGGUUAAUACCUGAGAAGAGUGGACGUUACUCGCAGAAUAAGCACCGGCUAACUCUGUGCCAGCAGCCGCGGUAA